GUUCUAAUGUCUUUCUAAGACAACAUAGAGAACAGAGCUAUAAAAGAAUGACACAUUAAAAUUCUAUCAAAUAUGGUGCUUCCAGACCAAAAAUUAUACUGUCCGAGGUUUAAGAGGGCAUUCCCAAAACUUCCAGUUACAAAACUUCCUGUUACAAAUAAAGAUGACUGCAUAAACUUACACUAUGGCAUUUCCUCCAAACAU
RNAcentral lists this unclassified non-coding RNA (204 nucleotides) under Hevea brasiliensis (rubber tree). Lineage: Eukaryota; Viridiplantae; Streptophyta; Magnoliopsida; Malpighiales; Euphorbiaceae. The record is from RNAcentral.